AAACAGAGAGCUCUAGAACAGGUUUCUCUUGGAAGUAUUUUGUAUUUUGCCAAUACUACGCCUUAUCCGAGAGGAUUUUAGUUUUUUCAGCGGCACUGAGCAAUUUCUAUGUAAUCUCAGACAUUUCUCUCCUGGGCAGAGAGUUUAGAAUUUCCUCUCGGAUGGCUGCUAGGAUGCCAGCAGAUGACCAUUUGUUCUGGACUUCCACUGCCUACCUUACAUUUCUUUGAAAGGAAUAUCUCUGCAAAAUUACAUCAGGCUACUAGGACCAAUGUAACAUCCAUGUGGCCUCCUACACUUUCUAAUUCCAACUAGAAUUCUUCAUGAUUGCUGCUUGUACAUUUCCAGGCAGACCUCUGCCAGUGUAUCAGCAUUCUUCAUAGGUGCUCACAAAUCUGCUGCUGCAGAUGUUAGGUAUUGAUGUCAAAGUAGUUUCCUGGAUCCAUUCCCCCCCCCUUUUUAAAAAAAAGUUGGAACCACAUUAUUGCUGCCAGUUCCUUCCAUCUCCAGGACCUCUCAAAGAUUUCAUUCAUUGAUUUCAAGAUCACAUCUGCCAGCUACCUCAGCAACCUGGGAUAUAAACCAUCUGAUCAAGGAGACUUGAACUCAUUCAAAGCAGUUAGGGGUUCUGUUACCAAUUCCUUACCUACAGUAUAUCUGACAUAAAAUGGUUUGAUCUUGUAGAGUGGAACUGAUGAAUACUGACAGGGAAAGUAAGAUGUAAUUAUGAAUGAAAGGCCUAAAAUAUAAUUGUAUAUUAUGAAUUGGUGUUAUCUAAAUUUUUGUGAAUGUAUAAAAAUUGAAAUUUACAGGUUGGUGAUAGGUCUUUUUACGCUCAAGCAAACGGUAACAAUGAUAGAACAUGGAAUGAGUUUUGGAAAAAGUUGUAGAAUUUUUUGAAUGAAUGCAAUUUGGGGAAAUAUUCUGUUAUAUGAUAUAAAUGGGGAGAAAUGAGAUGAGAGAGUACAGAAAAUGUUGGAGACCCAGAAUGAAUA
Pantherophis guttatus is the source of this 995-nucleotide non-coding RNA. The record is from RefSeq and is a predicted model, not a curated record. NCBI's taxonomy places the organism in Eukaryota, Metazoa, Chordata, Lepidosauria, Squamata, Colubridae.